RNAcentral lists this ribosomal RNA (259 nucleotides) under uncultured bacterium. RNAcentral's name for it is "partial 16S ribosomal RNA". It matches the Rfam family "Bacterial small subunit ribosomal RNA", at positions 524 to 776 of the family's 1533-position model. The record is from RNAcentral.
UACGAAGGGGGCUAGCGUUGCUCGGAAUCACUGGGCGUAAAGGGUGCGUAGGUGGCGCCGUAAGUCAGGUGUGAAAUUUCGGAGCUUAACUCCGAAACUGCAUUUGAUACUGCGGUGCUUGAGGACUGGAGAGGAGACUGGAAUUUACGGUGUAGCAGUGAAAUGCGUAGAGAUCGUAAGGAAGACCAGUGGCGAAGGCGGGUCUCUGGACAGUUCCUGACACUGACGCUCAUGCACGAAAGCGUGGGGAGCAAACAGG